UAGUAACAACUGGUCAUACAAAAAUCCAUGGCUUCUCAGGCAAGCUUAGUUGUUGUUCAACCAUCUACUAUCAAUGGCCUUGCUAGAUCUUCCUUUAUUGGAACUAAGCUCUCUUUCAAGCCCUCUCGCUAGAGUUUUAGACCCAAGAAUUUCAGAUUCUUGCUGAUCUCGGCAUUCUACUUCACAACAAAAUAUGGUGACCAGGGAUGGAUGAUCCUGCUAACCUCCUUCUUGGGACUCACCAAUGGCUAUCUCACUAUUUUUGUUCUCACUGUGGUACCAAGAGGUUACAAGGCAAGUUCACCCAACCCAUAAUUCACAAAUGAAAAACUAAUGCAAAUACAUUUUAUGGAUUUAAUUUCUAUUUAAAAA
Molecule: long non-coding RNA, 372 nt
Organism: Glycine soja
Lineage: Eukaryota; Viridiplantae; Streptophyta; Magnoliopsida; Fabales; Fabaceae
Exons: 2
Source: RefSeq, a predicted model, not a curated record